AAUGAACGUUGGCGGCGUGGAUUAGGCAUGCAAGUCGAGCGAGAAUUCCCCGCAAGGGGGAGGACAGCGGCGAAAGGGAGAGAACAGCGUAGUUACCUACCCUCAGGACUGGGAUAGCUCCGGGAAACCGGAGGUAAUACCAGAUGACGUCUUUGGACCAAAGGUGUGAUUCCGCCUGAGGAGGGGACUGCGUCCUAUUAGCUAGUUGGCGAGGUAACGGCUCACCAAGGCAAUGAUGGGUACGGGGUGUGAGAGCAUGCCCCCGCUCACUGGGACUGAGACACUGCCCAGACACCUACGGGUGGCUGCAGUCGAGGAUCUUCGGCAAUGGGCGCAAGCCUGACCGAGCGACGCCGCGUGCGGGAUGAAGGCCUUCGGGUUGUAAACCGCCGUCGGAGUGGAGGAAAUUCCAAGGGGUUCUCCCUUUGGAUUGACUAAUACUCAGAGGAAGGACGGGCUAAGUUCGUGCCAGCCGCCGCCGUAAAAC
RNAcentral lists this ribosomal RNA (487 nucleotides) under uncultured bacterium. Its description in RNAcentral is "bacterial SSU rRNA". It matches the Rfam family "Bacterial small subunit ribosomal RNA", at positions 29 to 526 of the family's 1533-position model. The record is from RNAcentral.